GCCUACGGGGGGCAGCAGUCGAGAAUAAUUCACAAUGGGGGCAACCCUGAUGGUGCAACGCCGCGUGGAGGAUGAAGGUCUUCGGAUUGUAAACUCCUGUCAUCCGGGAGUAAGACCUGGCUGUGAAUAGCAGACAGGGUUGAUAGUACCGGAAGAGGAAGGGACGGCUAACUUCGUGCCAGCAGCCGCGGUAAUACGAAGGUCCCGAGCGUUGUUCGGAAUCACUGGGCGUAAAGGGAGCGUAGGCGGCGUGGUAAGUCAGAUGUGAAAUCCCGGGGCUCAACCCCGGAACUGCAUCCGAUACUGCCGUGCUUUGAGGGUUGGAGAGGUAGCUGGAAUUCUUGGUGUAGCAGUGAAAUGCGUGGAUAUCAAGAGGAACACUCGUGGCGAAAGCGAGCUACUGGACAACACCUGACGCUGAGGCUCGAAGGCCAGGGUAGCGAAAGGGAUUAGAUACCCCGGUAGC
Molecule: ribosomal RNA, 466 nt
Filed under: uncultured bacterium
Lineage: Bacteria
Description: bacterial SSU rRNA
Rfam family: Bacterial small subunit ribosomal RNA
Source: RNAcentral